This 246-nucleotide long non-coding RNA is filed under the name Hordeum vulgare. RNAcentral's name for it is "long non-coding RNA (HVUL_LNC021180)". Lineage: Eukaryota; Viridiplantae; Streptophyta; Magnoliopsida; Poales; Poaceae. The record is from RNAcentral.
UCGUCGUCGUUGUCGUCGUCGUCGUUGUCGUCGUCGUCGUCGUCGUUGUUGUUGUUGUCGUUGUUGUUGUUGUCGUCGUCGUCGUCGUUGUUGUUGUCGUUGUUGUUGUUGUUGUUGUUUUUGUUGUUGCUGUAGUAGUAGUAGUAGUAGUUGUUGUUGUUGUUCUUGUUGUCAUUGUUGUUGUUGUUCUCGUCAUUGUCUAUGUUGUUGUCAUUGUGGUCGUCGUCGUCCUCACUGUAGUUGUUG